This 253-nucleotide ribosomal RNA is filed under the name uncultured bacterium. Its description in RNAcentral is "partial 16S ribosomal RNA". It matches the Rfam family "Bacterial small subunit ribosomal RNA", at positions 524 to 776 of the family's 1533-position model. The record is from RNAcentral.
UACGGAGGGGGCGAGCGUUAUUCGGAAUUAUUGGGCGUAAAGGGCUCGUAGGCGGCCAACUAAGUCGGAUGUGAAAUCCCCAGGCUUAACCUGGGAACUGCAUCCGAUACUGGAUGGCUUGAAUCCGGGAGAGGGAUGCAGAAUUCCAGGUGUAGCGGUGAAAUGCGUAGAUAUCUGGAGGAAUACCGGUGGCGAAGGCGGCAUCCUGGACCGGCAUUGACGCUGAUGAGCGAAAGCUAGGGGAGCAAACGGG